Tympanuchus pallidicinctus (lesser prairie-chicken) is the source of this 1558-nucleotide long non-coding RNA. RefSeq lists it as uncharacterized. The transcript is spliced from 4 exons. The record is from RefSeq and is a predicted model, not a curated record. Lineage: Eukaryota; Metazoa; Chordata; Aves; Galliformes; Phasianidae.
CGCACAUCCAGGCAAUUCCUCUGGAUAGCAGCUCUGGCUUAACCUGUACCCUUUUGGUCACAGGAACAUCUGCUCUGUCUGAAGACAAAAUGCUAAAGAGGUCAGAAAGAGUAGCACGUUCGCCCUGCUGUCACAGUGCUUAUGCGGGCGUUGUUAGACCCAUCCACUGGCACAACUCUGGGAGCCGUUCACUGUAAUUCCAUCUCCGCCUGGAGAACCAGAGGGUUAACCAGCGUCGCUUUCCAGCAGGGAAGCACCGCCCGCUCCAGCUGUGCCGGGGGUUCCCAGGGCUGCCCCGGCCCGGCUCGGGUCUGCGCAAGGCGGGGACAGCCACCCUCUGCUCCCUGCUGCAUUAGCGGGUUUCGCCCUCUCCUAGCAGAGCGUCCCCGGGGGGCGGCUGGGAGAUUCCUGAGGAGAGCAAAGUGCCCGGAGGGAGCGGCAGGAGGAGGCGGGCGAGGAGAGCAUCCCCUCUCCUGCCGCCGCUGACGCCGUGCAGAGCUGUCGGUGUGGCUCCCCAGAGUUAGUUGCUCAGCAACAAGGAUCAAUUAAUAUGCUUUGCAGAAAGUGCAGGGGAAGCCCGAGCUGCUGUCAGCGAGAAGGCAGGAGGCUGAGGUCCCUCUGAUGACGCCACGAAUCUGGGAAUGAAGAACUUCUUCAAGCUGAUUGGAAAUGGCAUUGCGGAGCUGAAACUUAACUGGAGGAAAUAUAUCUCCCGAAGAAGGAAAUAUAAUGCACUUUAAAGAUCUGACUUCUGGUGAAAAAUUCAAGCCUAGAGAAAACUUGUCUGCUUUGUUUGGAAGAAUGGGUUGGACAAUUUUCUUCAGUUCCACAGGAUAUCUGAGUGCCAUGCUGAGCUUGAUCUCUGCAGCAUGCUCUGUGCUUCUCAUCUCUUCCUGAUGCACUGCAUGGUCAGCUCUUUAAUUGCAAGCUCCCUGAAAGGCCAACUUCAGCACUACCCAUUCAUAGCCCUAUAUUGUUGAUACUGAACAGCAGUUCCUACCAGCUCUAUGGUAGAUAUUAUCCUGAAGGGGACGAUAAAGAAACUGGCCACCAAGAUGGUAAUCACUAGUGGAAAUGAAGAAGAUAAAGGCAAUCAAGAAAAGGAGAGCAAAGAAGAAACCAUCUUGGCAAUGCUUGGAAUUAUUGGGACAAUUCUAAACCUCAUUGUGAUCAUUUUUGUGUACAUUUACACAACGUUGUAAACUAGCAGGCAUGCAAAUAGAGCAGAUAAAACGGCCAUUAAGAGUGACAACAAACAUUACUGACUAUUGACAAGUUGUUUAAUCAGAAUUGACUCUGUAUUAUAUUAACACAUCAUAAAAGCACUGCCUGCAGGCAGCGAAGGCUGAAGCACAAUUAAUUUAACAAGACUUCUUCACGCAGUAACAAGCUAAACUCUUCUGUCCUGCCCUCUUCCUUUCGCUUUGGUUUUUGGUUUGGGGAAAACAUGACUGCAAUUAUGUAAGUUGUAGCUUUGGAGAAAUCCACCUGGGUUAUGUUGUUUUAACACAAUUUAAAAAAAAGAAGAAAAAAAGAAAAAAAAGAAAAAAAUUAGAAA